CUCUGCCUCCCUAGUGCUGGGAUUAAAGGCAUUAGCCACUACCACCUAACUUAAAAAUGUUUUUGUAGAGCUGAGCCACAUAUAUUAAAACUAAGUUGUAACAGUAAUAAUAAAGUAGAUAUAUAAUGCAAACUUUUCUUUUUAAGGGUUUAUCUGAAAGGAGCUAGGUUCUGGCUGAAGGGUUUAUACGCGUUAGUAAACUGCUGUUUGGGUGUCUACUGUGUGCAGGCCCCAUGUGAAGUCCUAAACGAUUUAGCUAAACCACACAAAGCGGCUUCUACCACAGUAUAAUUUAACUCCAGUGGGAAACACACACACACACAGUAUGCAGGAUGGGAAAACAACUGUAUGUCAGAUAGGAGGUUAAUUUACAACACAACCAGUAUGCAACUAGACCCAGCAAAGACUUCAACUGAGAUAAUUUGGGUAGAGAAAUGAGCUUGGGACUUUGCAUGUGGUUAAUGGCCAAUAAUUAGUGACUCUUAAAUCCUAAUGUUGGGUCAACAUGUUCCUUUUCUAGAAACUAUUAAGAAUACACGACAAAAUAUAAAGACAUAAUCAACCAGGAAACUAAAGCAUGAGACAUGUGGGUUUGAGACCAGCUUCAAUUCUAGGCCAGCCUAGGCUACCAUUCACAAAACCCUGUCUCAAAAUUUAUAAAAUACUAAAAAUGAAAAAGAUUCAUCUGUCAACCCUACUACUUUGUCUAGCACUGCUACCUGUAGUUGUCCCGAAAGGCUCAAGUGUUAAAAAGGGUUGGCCCUCAGCUACUGGCAUGUUAAAGUAACUGAGUGACAAUGGGACAACGUCAUCAAUGGGGUAAACCACUGGUGCAUUCAUAGCCAAGGCAGGUGGGGCCUAGUCAGAGGAUACAGGUCACCAAGGGGAGAGACUUUGAAAAGUGUAUUUUGUUUUUUGGAACUUACAACAUAAGCCAGGCUUGUCUCUGCCUUCUGAGUGCUAGGGUCAAAGGUGUGUACCAACAAGACUGGCUACAAGAUUUCAGGUAUAGUCACUUGUUCAGACAGGUAUUGCUAUAGAGCCCAGUCUGGUAUUAACACUUUUUCUGCUUUUCUCAGUUUUUUUUAUCUUCAGGCUAGCCUCAAAUUUGUACACUGCUAAGAAGAGCCUCGACCUUUGAUAUUCCUGCUUCCCCCUCUCAAGUGCCGGGAUUACAAGUGUCCACGAUCAUGCCUGGCUUCCUGUGCUGCUGAAGAUCAAACCCAAGGCUUCUCAGAUGUUACACAUUCUACCAGCUCAGGCUCUACCUGCACACUCUCGACUCUGCUGCCUCAGUUCCCUAGUACGGAGGUUACAGCAAAGAACAAGCCUAUCAGCGUUAUACAGCUAAUCGUGAAGAACGGAUGGUUCCACAGUGACGUGAGGAAGGACACCUGCAAAACAGAGUGGGAGAUACAGUCUCAGGACACCGAGCCCUACUCCCUACUGUACAGAAAUGUAUGAUGCUUUACCAUCUAAACGACAACCACCCUAGUUCUCUUUACUGUGCCGUGAAAACAAAACUCACACUUUAUCUUUUUA
Molecule: small RNA, 1542 nt
Filed under: Rattus norvegicus (Norway rat)
Lineage: Eukaryota; Metazoa; Chordata; Mammalia; Rodentia; Muridae
Description: uncharacterized LOC108348906
Source: RNAcentral